UUAAUUGAAGCCAAAAAUAGAGGCUUAUCACUGUUAAUGAUAUAAUUGAAUUAUAAAAUUCCAAUUAAG
Molecule: transfer RNA, 69 nt
Filed under: Chrysops sp.
Lineage: Eukaryota; Metazoa; Arthropoda; Insecta; Diptera; Tabanidae
Description: tRNA-Asn
Source: RNAcentral